Molecule: RNase P RNA, 392 nt
Filed under: Actinomyces oris
Lineage: Bacteria; Bacillati; Actinomycetota; Actinomycetes; Actinomycetales; Actinomycetaceae
Description: RNase P RNA component class A
Rfam family: Bacterial RNase P class A
About the family: Ribonuclease P (RNase P) is a ubiquitous endoribonuclease, found in archaea, bacteria and eukarya as well as chloroplasts and mitochondria. Its best characterised activity is the generation of mature 5'-ends of tRNAs by cleaving the 5'-leader elements of precursor-tRNAs.
Source: RNAcentral
CGAGCCGACCGGGCGGCCGCGGUACCGGCCACCGCCUUCAUGGCGGUGGCGGGCUGAGGAACGUCCGGGCUCCACAGAGCAGGGCGGUGGCUAACGGCCACCCGGGGUGACCCGCGGGACAGUGCCACAGAGAGUAGACCGCCCAUCGGAUACCGGUGGGUAAGGGUGAAAAGGUGGGGUAAGAGCCCACCAGCGCGGCGGGUGACCGUUGCGGCUCGGUAAACCCCGCCCGGAGCAAGACCGCACAGCUGGCGCUUGAAGGCUGCUCGCCCGAGUCAGCGGGUAGGUCGCAUGAGGCCGCUGGUAACAGCGGUCCAAGAUGAAUGGUCGCCACCGCCCAGGCCGGUAACGGCGGGCGGCAACAGAACCCGGCGUACAGGUCGGCUCGUCCG